GUCUGACACGGCCCGACGGUGGCAAGUCUUGCCCCGACGUAUGGCCGUGGCGCGAUGAC
Molecule: non-coding RNA, 59 nt
Organism: Pseudomonas entomophila
Lineage: Bacteria; Pseudomonadati; Pseudomonadota; Gammaproteobacteria; Pseudomonadales; Pseudomonadaceae
Source: Rfam